ACAGCUGCAGGAGGAUGAAGGAUGCUCAGUAACACCUGCUGGAAAAGAACAACCCACCAUGGUUUGAUCUGCUGCUAAAGGUAACAAAACCAUCCUUCUCCUCCAGAAGAAAACUGCUUGAGCACUACUCCCUCAGAGCAAAGGCUGUGUUCAAUAACAGUCAACUUCAUUAUCCUCUAUGGUCCCCACAGCAGCAAGGAUGUCCUGUAGGAGGGACUGAGGGCUUUCCUCCACAUGGUCACUACUUUUAUUUAGCUCAUCAUGCAGCUCCAGCAAGUCUAUUGCACCCAAAGCUAACAUCAUGCUCUCUGGAUCUUGGAAAUCCACCCCAACAUCACCAUCCACGGGGAAGUUCUGAGCCAGAGAACCCUGUCUUAGUGUCCUCUGUAGCCAGGCAAUGCCACGUCCUGCAGGUGAAUCUUCAAUCUCCUGUGGGUUCUCCAAAGUACUCAUGGGGUAGAAAUGGCCUCUCAGGCCAACCAGCACAUCACAGGCUCUCUGCCCCACGGGUUUGUCACAGUCACACAAAGAGCCAAACAAAAACCCAAACAGCUUUGCUCGACAGAACACCUGCAGCAGCUCCUUCUGAGGGGUGGAACUGGGGACUGCAGAGGUGACAGGAGCAUAGGGACACUGGGAGAGCUGGCAAACGGUCUGGCUACAAAAAACUUCAACCAGCUCCAAACCACCGAGUCUGACUUCCCAGUCUAAGUCAUGCUCCACAGUCUGGAUGACUCUAGAGACAAAGUGCUCUGUAUCUUCCAGCUGACCUGUGCAGCCUUCUCUCAGCCACUUGGUGAAGAUGCUGAUCACAGCCCUCCUAGGAAAGCCCUCUGAGUCUGUUGACAAGAUUUCCUGAAGCUUUGCUACGAGGCUCUGGAUGCAAAAAGACAAAAGAGAAAGCACAGUGAGGGGAGGAGCACACAAAGAAACAAAAACAGCAGAGGUGAAAAAUCUUCUCAUUACUGGCUGUGCAACCUGCCUGCAUCAGCAGAUAACUUGGGAAGAAAAUUAUAAGCAGUACAGCAGUAAACUGAUGGGAAUUGCUCAUGCAGAAAAGGUUAUCCUACCUCUCUGUUAUACUGACUGCCUGUGACAGCCCUCCAGUUAGAGGUCAGAAGAUACUUCACCAGCCUGACUUUCACAGCAUUACAGGAAAUACUCCUCAAAUCUGAACUGGUAAAGCUUUGCACUUACCUCUCAAGCACUUAACCAUGGAAGUGAGGAACUCCAGGGAAGAAUCUCUGACUUCCCAGCAAGGACUGCACAAACGUUUCUGCAGCACCACCAGCACAUCUGUAAAAGGCAAGUGGCAAAUCUGAAUGAAUGUGAAAGGUAACAAACCUUACUGAAACACUCACUGUACAUGCUCUACAUCAUUUCAUCUCAUACAAUCCCUUUUGCUGCUGCUGGGUGCUUCUUCCAGAGCUCUGCAAAGCUGAACUUCGCAGCUAAACUUAAAUUCAACAUAAUUGUGAACAAGUGAGUCCAGUGCUUUGAGCAGGAAGGGUAGGCAGGAGCAGAUUUCAUGUGUGCCACUAGCUGCUGUUUGUCCCAGCUGGAACAGCUUCAUUACCUUCCAAAAUCUUCUCAGUUUGUGGCCCCUGGCUGUUGGAGGAGGACAGCUCCUGCAAGUGCACCAACCACUUGGAUGUAGCUUGAAAGGUUUUCUUUAGAACCUGAAGCAAUGUAAAGCAGAUUGACUUUACUACAGGGGGACACAGUGCUGCCUUUAUGCCUUUAAAAGUAAAAUUAAUUUUAGCCUCAAACUUACAGAGAAAUUAUCAGAGUAAAAAGUGCAUAUGCCUCCUUACUAAGAAGCCGGCCACAAAAAAAAUGGUGCUUAAAUACAAUUUCUAACAAACACCUAGAAAAUCCCUGUGUUCAGCUUAGUGUUAUGAAGUUCUAUACCUCCAGCUUUGGGUUUGCAGUUGCCACCAGAGUCAUUAAAACUAAACCAAGAAAAAAAACAAAUCCCCUUGAUCAAAAGCAUUCAAUACUUCAUGACCAUGUCAAGCUGAGUAUGUCAGUGCUACUCUUAGACAUGAUGGCUCCUGUCUUCUCAAGAACCCUCAAUGAACUGGUCAUUUACUUGCUCAUUACAAUUUUAGAUAUUUUCUGCAAGCCACCCAGGACAAGACAAGUGUCCUACAUAUUCUAACACAAAGUGUGCUAAGAAACACCUGCAGUCAGACCCUUUAUGGGAAUUACACCCCACUGGGGCACAUGGAUAGACCUGGAUCUCUCCCUAGUUCUGUACUCACAGUAGGGCUGGUGUUUGGACUCUGCAGAUAUGCCAGGAGGACAUCAAACAGAUUUCCUAUGAGAGUGUCACACUCUGAAACAGAGAAAACAAACCCAAAGGGCCAAUACUGAGAGAUGGAGCAGCCAAAUCCCUGCUGAAAUACACAAAGACACAGAAUUGUAAAAUUGUUUUGGAUAAGGAAGCAAAGAUGAACUCACCUUUUUU
Melospiza melodia melodia is the source of this 2470-nucleotide long non-coding RNA. RefSeq lists it as uncharacterized. The transcript has 3 exons. The record is from RefSeq and is a predicted model, not a curated record. NCBI's taxonomy places the organism in Eukaryota, Metazoa, Chordata, Aves, Passeriformes, Passerellidae.